GCAAGAUACCACGGGCGCACGGCGGAUGCCUUGGCACAGGGAGCCGAUGAAGGACGCGGCAAGCUGCGAUAAUCCCCGGCGAGGAGCACACAUCCUUCGACCCGGGGGUCUCCGAAUGGGCGAACCCAUCCACAGCAGUGUGGAUAUCCCCACCCCGAACACAUAAGGGUGGGGAGGACAACCCGGGGAACUGAAACAUCUAAGUACCCGGAGGAGAGGAAAUCAAUCUCGAGACUCCCCGAGUAGCGGCGAGCGAAAGGGGACCGAUGGCCAAACCGUCGAGCGGGCAUACCCGGCAGGGGUUCCGCCGACGGGGUUGCAGGGCCGCGCAUCCGGGGGCUGCCGCCCCCGGGCGCAGGUCCGGCUGGGGAGCGGAACGGCAUGGGAGGGCCGGCCGCAGCGGGUGACAGCCCCGUACGCGAACCCAGACCGGACGGCGCGACGCGGUCCCUGAGUAGGGCCGGGCACGUGAAACCCGGUCCGAACCUGGGUGGACCACCAUCCAAGCCUGAGUACUACCCUGUGACCGAUAGCGCACCAGUACCGUGAGGGAAAGGUGAAAAGCACCCCGGGAGGGGAGUGAAACAGUACCUGAAACCGUGCGCCCACGAGCAGUCGGAGCACCCUUGUGGUGUGACGGCGUGCCUUUUGUAGAAUGAGCCAGCGAGUCGCUGGCGCGGGGCGAGGUUAACCGAAAGGGAGCCGGAGCGAAAGCGAGCCUUAACAGGGCGACUUGAGUCCCGCGCCGCGGACGCGAAGCCGGGUGAGCUAUCCGUGGGCAGGCUGAAGCGGGGGUAAGACCCCGUGGAGGGCCGAACGCACGUCGGUUGAAAACGGCGGCGAUGACCUGCGGAUAGGGGUGAAAGGCCAAUCAAACCCGGAGAUAUCUCGUUCUCCCCGAAAUAGCUUUAGGGCUAGCGUCGCGCGUUCACCGCCGGAGGUAGAGCACCGGAUGGACGAGGGGGCUUCGCCGCCUACCGAAUCCAACCGAACUCCGAAUGCCGGCGGCCCAGAGCGCGGCAGUCAGAGCAUGUGGGCUAAGCUGUGUGCUCGAGAGGGAAACAGCCCGGACCGCCCGCUAAGGUCCCCAAGUUCCAGCCGAGUGGCAAAGGAUGUGCGUCCGCCCAGACAACCAGGAUGUUGGCUUAGAAGCAGCCAUCCAUUCAAAGAGUGCGUAACAGCUCACUGGUCGAGUGGACAUGCGCCGACAAUACACGGGGCUAAGCUGGACACCGAAGCGGCGGGAUUUUAUCUAUAUAGAAUCGGUAGGGGAGCUUCCCAUGGGCGGUGAAGCCGCCGGGCGACCGGCGGUGGAGCGCAUGGGAGUGAGAAUGCUGGCAUGAGUAGCGAGAGACGAGAGAGUAACUCGUCCGCCGUGAACCCGAGGUUUCCUGGGCAAGGCUAAUCCUCCCAGGGUCAGUCGGGGGCUAAGGCGAGGCCGGGAGGCGUAGCCGACGCGCAGCAGGCAGACAUUCCUGCACCGCGCACGCGGCGCUACGACCGACGGGGCGACGGAUGGGGGUGGCUCGGCGGGGUUCUGGACGUCCCCGUGAUGGAGCGCGGCCCGCGGACCAGGGAAAUCCGGUCCGCACGAGGGCGAGGCUCCGGACGAAGCGAUCAAGCGAAGCGAGUGAGCCCGAGGUCCCCAGAAAAACCCCUAGGCAGGCGCGUGCGCGCCCGUACCGCAAACCGACACAGGUGGGUGGGUAGAACAUACCGAGGCGAUCGGGUCAACCAUGGUCAAGGAACUCGGCACAAUGGCCCCGUAACUUCGGGAGAAGGGGUGCCCGCGCGUACGUGAACCGGCUUGCCCGGGGAGCGGAGGCGGGCCGCAGUGGAGAGGCCCAAGCGACUGUUUACCAAAAACACAGGACUCUGCAGAAGCCGCAAGGCGACGUAUAGGGUCUGACGCCUGCCCGGUGCCGGAAGGUCACGCGGAGGAGUUAGCCGCAAGGCGAAGCCCCGAAGCCAAGCCCCGGUAAACGGCGGCCGUAACUAUAACGGUCCUAAGGUAGCGAAAUUCCUUGUCGGGUAAGUUCCGACCUGC
Molecule: ribosomal RNA, 2047 nt
Filed under: human gut metagenome
Description: bacterial LSU rRNA
Rfam family: Bacterial large subunit ribosomal RNA
Source: RNAcentral